CGGCUCUGGCAUCCAAAGAUCCUACCAUUGACAGUGGCACUUCCAGGCCUAUGGCUGCUGACUUCAGAGCUGCUGGGAGCUUCAUCCUGCUCUUGCUCUUCAUGGGAAGGUGAAUCUCCAUGCAUCUGCAAUUUGAAGGCAGAGGAGAACAUUCUCCCAAUGUUUGGAGAGUGUUAUUCUGCUGGUCUGAUUGCCUCUUGCCUUUGCUGCUUUCUUCCCUGAGUUUCC
RNAcentral lists this long non-coding RNA (228 nucleotides) under Vulpes vulpes (red fox). RNAcentral's name for it is "lncRNA (ENSVVUG00000005354.1)". Lineage: Eukaryota; Metazoa; Chordata; Mammalia; Carnivora; Canidae. The record is from RNAcentral.